RNAcentral lists this unclassified non-coding RNA (555 nucleotides) under Cryptococcus sp. DMKU-RK169. Its description in RNAcentral is "partial contains ITS1, 5.8S rRNA and ITS2". The stretch from base 154 to 307 matches the Rfam family "5.8S ribosomal RNA". Lineage: Eukaryota; Fungi; Basidiomycota; Tremellomycetes; Tremellales; Cryptococcaceae. The record is from RNAcentral.
UAACAAGGUUUCCGUAGGUGAACCUGCGGAAGGAUCAUUAAAGAUUGGCCGAGAGGCCUCAUCUCUAUAUCCCUCAACCUCUGUGAACCGUGGACCCUCGGGUCUGUCUUACAAACAUCAGUGUAAUGAACGUGAUAAUCAUAACAAAAACAAAACUUUCAACAACGGAUCUCUUGGCUCUCGCAUCGAUGAAGAACGCAGCGAAAUGCGAUAAGUAAUGUGAAUUGCAGAAUUCAGUGAAUCAUCGAAUCUUUGAACGCACCUUGCGCCUCUUGGUAUUCCGAGAGGCAUGCCUGUUUGAGUGUCAUGAAAUCUCAAUCCCCUCGGGUUUUAGGACCCGGGUCGGACUUGGACAUGGGCGUCUGCCGGUCAAACGGCUCGCCUCAAAUGACUUAGUGGAUCUCUCAGCAUCCGUGACAGACGUAAUAAGUUUCGUCUCGUCCCUUGCAGAUGAGUCCGCUCACAACCUGCCAUCGCGCACUUUUAGACUCUGACCUCAAAUCAGGUAGGACUACCCAAAUCAGGUAGGACUACCCGCUGAACUUAAGCAUAUCA